This 213-nucleotide ribosomal RNA is filed under the name Triticum aestivum (bread wheat). RNAcentral's name for it is "partial small subunit ribosomal RNA". Lineage: Eukaryota; Viridiplantae; Streptophyta; Magnoliopsida; Poales; Poaceae. The record is from RNAcentral.
AUGGAUCUCAUGAGCUGGAACUGCCGGGGAGGGGGGAAUUCCCGGACAGUUCGUGAGCUAGCGACGCUAGUGCAGUCGCAUUCCCCCAGGAUGGUGUUUCUGUGCGAGACAAGACAAAAAGAAGAUAAAAUGAGAAGAUUGAGAGGCCGGCUAGUCCUCAAAGGAUUUACUAGUGUGGAUAGCAACGGCCUGAGCGGGGGCCUUGCCCUUUUU